Prinia subflava (tawny-flanked prinia) is the source of this 649-nucleotide long non-coding RNA. RefSeq lists it as uncharacterized. Lineage: Eukaryota; Metazoa; Chordata; Aves; Passeriformes; Cisticolidae. The record is from RefSeq and is a predicted model, not a curated record. The transcript has 2 exons.
UGCCCAGGAUGUCACACAGGUGUGUCCGGGCUGUCACACAGGUGUGUGCUGUGUCCGGGGAUGUCACACAGGUGUGUGCUGUGCCCGGGCUGUCACACAGGUGUGCCCAAGAUGUCACACAGGUGUGUGCUGUGUCCAGGAUGUCACACAGGUGUGCCCGGGCUGUCACACAGGUGUGUGCUGUGCCUAGGAUGUCACACAGGUGUGCCCGGGCUGUCACACAGGUGUGUGCUGUGUCCAGGACGGCCAGGAGCCUGCCCAGCUCAGGGAUGGAAAGAGCCUCUGAUGGCAGAAACUCAGGGGAGGAGGGUGCAAGAAUAAAGAAAGGGAACUCCAAAGAGGACUAAAAAGUAGCAACAUUUGCAAUAUUGCAACAAUUGCCUCACUCUUUGCCAGCCAUUUCAAGCGCACGGCUUCUGAAGGGAGCAGUUCAGUACUUGUCACCAGGCUUCCCAGAAUAACCUGCCAGUGACCAUCAGGGGCUGCAGACAUCUCAGAAGAAUGUUGGCCAUUAAACCUGACAUUUAUGAUUGAAAGAAUCAAACCGUCAAACCAAACCCAGUCCCAAGUGGUGCUUCUGAUUGUUCUAUAGAGAGUUUGACGAUGCAAGAAACAACAGACAGGGUUUUAUUAAAUUUCUUUAACUCAA